UUUGGGGAUUGAUUUGAUUGUUAUUGAAUUAGGGUUUGAGUAUUUGGGGUUCUUAGAUCAUUUGUUUUAAUUAAUUGAAAUCCGAAAAUGGGUAUGGAUUUUGAUGAAAACCCCAAAUCUGGUUUGUGUUUGUAAAUGGGAUAGUUAUGUUAGUUUAUGACUAUUUGUUAGGGAUUAAGGUUGUUUAUGUUCUAAGGUUGAUGUUAGCUUAAUUGGAGAUGAACUUUGAGGAUUAUGUAGUUUCAAAUUUGGUAAUAUUUAGUUGGUAAUUUGUUGAGCUUAGCCGUGUGAUGUGUGUGUUGAAAUGGAGUAUGGGAUUGUUAUGGGUGUAUUUUGGUUAAAUCAAAAAUUGGGAGUUGGAUUUAUGGGUAUGCGGUUGGAAGAUAUUAUUGUUGAUAUUGAUGGAUAUGUAGUUCUAGUUGUGAUGAAUUGUUACGGAAUUGUAAGUUAAUGAAUAUGUUAGCCUAUGAUUAAUGCUCUAUGGUAGGUUGUUGGUGCUUGAUUGGAAAGUGAUUUUGAAGGGUAUUUUGAUGGAAAUCCGAAUCUGGACUUGAGAGUUAUAAAUUGAGUAUUAUGCUUAUGGAUAGGAGUUAAGGCUUUGAUGGGUGGAUUUUAAUUACGUUUCCAUAGUGUUGUUUUGAUGGAUAUCCGGAGUUGAUUUUGAGGCUUUUGUUAUGUCUUUAAGUUGAUGUUUGAUUUGUAUGGUUUCUAUGGGUAUUUCCCUAAGCUAGGCUGAAUGGAUGAUAGGGGUUAUAAUUGAGAGUUGAUUUUCAAUGAAUAUUGAUGAAUUGAUGUUAAGCUUUGGUGGAAAGUAUUUCCAAUUAAGAGAAGUUAAUCUUUGUUAUGUAAAGGAUGUGAUUUAAGUUAUAUUGCUAAUUUUUAAGUAAUUGAAUGGAAGUGUUGGGUUCGCAAUAAGUUGUUCUGAUAGCCACAUGAGUAUGGAUUAUUAAUGGUUGUGUCAUCCCCUAAGUGUGUUGUUUAGGAAGAUUAUGUUAAUAGAUUAUUGGUGAUUAUGAUUAUGUGGUGUUGAGUAUUAGUAGAUAUAUUUGGUAAUGUCUAUGAGCUUUGAUUGGUUUGGAUGUUAGAAAAGACAUGAUGAUGAAUUAAUGUGUAAAGGGUAUUAGGACAGUGUGAAAUGCCUAGGUGUAUUGGGGUUGUGUUAAAUUUAGUAAGCCUUAAAUAUACAAUGUUAACUUUGUAAAUAAGCAAUGAGCCAUUUAAGGGUGAAACAAAGAUAAUGAAAUGCAACAACAAUUGAUAAGCUAGUAAAAUAAUAAACACACCAUUGUGUUACUAAACAUGAUAAAUAGGAACCUAAACCUAAAUGAUGACUUAAUAAUAGUUUAAGAUACUUAACUAGAUUUAGACACGGGUAACACAACGUGUGAGCACGCGGGUAGUUAGGAUGUCAUAGAGUAUGAGAUUCAAUAGCAUAGUCUGAUGUUACUAAUGUUUGCAGGAUCGAGUUAUAAUUGGAGACUUCAAUGGGUUCUCCAAUGUAGAGUUCGAGUUGGAGUCCAAUGCAGCCAAGAUGAUGUUUCUUUGGCUGCAGGUACUUCGGUAUAGUCGAUGGGUCGGUAGCAGUGUGCUUGGGAUAUUAUGACUGAAGCUCACCGCGACGGUUGUAACUAUCGGACUACGGGUUGUCCACUAUUUUAUAGGUUUGGUAUGGCUUGUGACGUUUGUGUCACUUAUUCUUUGUUAAGCCAUUAUUGUUAUAGUGUUAAUAAGACUCAAACAGAUAGAUGUUAAAUGGCUCUUUGUUGUAAUUAACUUGUGAUAGAUGUAUAAGUUGUAAUUUCCGCUAUUCAGAUUUAUGUUUUUCGCUGCA
Alnus glutinosa is the source of this 1831-nucleotide long non-coding RNA. RefSeq lists it as uncharacterized. The record is from RefSeq and is a predicted model, not a curated record. Lineage: Eukaryota; Viridiplantae; Streptophyta; Magnoliopsida; Fagales; Betulaceae. The transcript is spliced from 2 exons.